AGAGUUUGAUCCUGGCUCAGAUUGAACGCUGCGGCAUGCUUUACACAUGCAAGUCGAACGGCAGCGCGGGGCAACCUGGCGGCGAGUGGCGAACGGGUGAGUAAUAUAUCGGAACGUACCAGAAGUGGGGGAUAACGUAGCGAAAGUUACGCUAAUACCGCAUACGAUCUACGGAUGAAAGUGGGGGACCUUCGGGCCUCAUGCUUUUGGAGCGGCCGAUAUCUGAUUAGCUAGUUGGUGAGGUAAAGGCUCACCAAGGCGACGAUCAGUAGCUGGUCUGAGAGGACGACCAGCCACACUGGGACUGAGACACGGCCCAGACUCCUACGGGAGGCAGCAGUGGGGAAUUUUGGACAAUGGGGGCAACCCUGAUCCAGCAAUGCCGCGUGAGUGAAGAAGGCCUUCGGGUUGUAAAGCUCUUUUGUCAGGGAAGAAACGGUUGAGGCUAAUACCUUUGGCUAAUGACGGUACCUGAAGAAUAAGCACCGGCUAACUACGUG
Molecule: ribosomal RNA, 500 nt
Filed under: uncultured Massilia sp.
Lineage: Bacteria; Pseudomonadati; Pseudomonadota; Betaproteobacteria; Burkholderiales; Oxalobacteraceae
Description: bacterial SSU rRNA
Rfam family: Bacterial small subunit ribosomal RNA
Source: RNAcentral